AUUGAACGCUGGCGGCAUGCCUUACACAUGCAAAUCGAACGGUAACGGGCCUUCGGGUGCCGACGUGUGGCGAACGGGUGAGUAAUACAUCGGAACGUGCCCGAUCGUGGGGGGUAACGAGGCGAAAGCUUUGCUAAUACCGCACACGAUCUAUGUAUGAAAGCAGGGGACCGCAAGGCCUUGCGCGGUCGGAGCGGCCGAUGGCAGAUUAGGUAGUUGGUGGGAUAAAAGCUUACCAAGCCGACGAUCUGUAGCUGGUCUGAGAGGAUGAUCAGCCACACUGAGACUGGGACACGGCCCGAACCCCUACGGGAGGCAGCAGUGGGGAAUUUGGGACAAUGGGCGCAAGCCUGAUCCAGCCAGGCCGCGUGCAGGAUGAAGGCCUUCGGGUUGUAAACUGAUUUUGUACGGAACGAAAAGCCUUCUUUUAAUACAGGAGGGUCAUGACGGGACCGUAAGAAUAAGCACCGGCUAACUACGU
This 481-nucleotide ribosomal RNA is filed under the name uncultured bacterium. RNAcentral describes it as "partial 16S ribosomal RNA". It matches the Rfam family "Bacterial small subunit ribosomal RNA", at positions 30 to 506 of the family's 1533-position model. The record is from RNAcentral.